CAGCCGCCGCGGGAAUACAGAGGGUGCGAGCGUUAAUCGGAUUUACUGGGCGUAAAGCGUGCGUAGGCGGCUUCUUAAGUCGGAUGUGAAAUCCCUGAGCUUAACUUAGGAAUUGCAUUCGAUACUGGGAAGCUAGAGUAUGGGAGAGGAUGGUAGAAUUCCAGGUGUAGCGGUGAAAUGCGUAGAGAUCUGGAGGAAUACCGAUGGCGAAGGCAGCCAUCUGGCCUAAUACUGACGCUGAGGUACGAAAGCAUGGGGAGCAAACAGGAUUAGAUACCCGUAGUCCCUGUCUCUUAUACAC
Molecule: ribosomal RNA, 301 nt
Filed under: uncultured bacterium
Lineage: Bacteria
Description: partial 16S ribosomal RNA
Rfam family: Bacterial small subunit ribosomal RNA
Source: RNAcentral